CACGUAGGGGGCAAGCGUUGUCCGGAUUCAUUGGGCGUAAAGAGCUCGUAGGCGGUUCGAUAAGUCGGGUGUGAAACCUCCAGGCUCAACCUGGAGACGCCACCCGAUACUGUCGUGACUAGAGUCCAGUAGGGGAGCGUGGAAUUCCUGGUGUAGCGGUGAAAUGCGCAGAUAUCAGGAGGAACACCGAUGGCGAAGGCAGCUCGCUGGGACGGUACUGACGCUGAGACGCGAAAGCGUGGGGAGCAAACAGG
This 254-nucleotide ribosomal RNA is filed under the name uncultured bacterium. Its description in RNAcentral is "partial 16S ribosomal RNA". It matches the Rfam family "Bacterial small subunit ribosomal RNA", at positions 524 to 776 of the family's 1533-position model. The record is from RNAcentral.